RNAcentral lists this ribosomal RNA (1987 nucleotides) under Cupriavidus sp. IDO. Its description in RNAcentral is "bacterial LSU rRNA". It matches the Rfam family "Bacterial large subunit ribosomal RNA", at positions 939 to 2925 of the family's 2925-position model. The record is from RNAcentral. Lineage: Bacteria; Pseudomonadati; Pseudomonadota; Betaproteobacteria; Burkholderiales; Burkholderiaceae.
CCCCGCCAUAGCAAACUCCGAAUACCGAAGAGUGCAAUCACGGGAGACAGACAUCGGGUGCUAACGUCCGGUGUCAAGAGGGAAACAACCCAGACCGCCAGCUAAGGUCCCCAAAUAUAGCUAAGUGGGAAACGAAGUGGGAAGGCUAAAACAGUCAGGAGGUUGGCUUAGAAGCAGCCACCCUUUAAAGAAAGCGUAAUAGCUCACUGAUCGAGUCGUCCUGCGCGGAAGAUGUAACGGGGCUAAGCUAUAUACCGAAGCUGCGGACGCACGCAAGUGCGUGGUAGGAGAGCGUUCUGUAAGCCUGUGAAGGUGUCUUGUAAAGGAUGCUGGAGGUAUCAGAAGUGCGAAUGCUGACAUGAGUAGCGAUAAAGGGGGUGAAAGGCCCCCUCGCCGUAAGCCCAAGGUUUCCUACGCAACGUUCAUCGGCGUAGGGUGAGUCGGCCCCUAAGGCGAGGCAGAGAUGCGUAGCUGAUGGGAAGCAGGUUAAUAUUCCUGCACCGUCGUAUGAUGCGAUGGGGGGACGGAUCGCGGAAGGUUGUCCGGGUGUUGGAAGUCCCGGUCCCUGCAUUGGAGAAGGCGCUUAGGCAAAUCCGGGCGCGGAAUUCAAGGAUGCGGGGCGAGCGGCCUAGUGCUGCGAAGCAAUUGGAAGUGGUUCCAAGAAAAGCCUCUAAGCUUCAGUCAUACGAGACCGUACCGCAAACCGACACAGGUGGGCGAGAUGAGUAUUCUAAGGCGCUUGAGAGAACUCGGGAGAAGGAACUCGGCAAAUUGGUACCGUAACUUCGGGAUAAGGUACGCCCUGGUAGCUUGACUGGCCUGCGCCAGAAGGGUGACGGGGUUGCAAUAAAAUGGUGGCUGCGACUGUUUAAUAAAAACACAGCACUCUGCAAACACGAAAGUGGACGUAUAGGGUGUGACGCCUGCCCGGUGCCGGAAGAUUAAAUGAUGGGGUGCAAGCUCUUGAUUGAAGUCCCGGUAAACGGCGGCCGUAACUAUAACGGUCCUAAGGUAGCGAAAUUCCUUGUCGGGUAAGUUCCGACCUGCACGAAUGGCGUAACGAUGGCCACACUGUCUCCUCCCGAGACUCAGCGAAGUUGAAGUGUUUGUGAUGAUGCAAUCUCCCCGCGGCUAGACGGAAAGACCCCAUGAACCUUUACUGUAGCUUUGCAUUGGACUUUGAACCGAUCUGUGUAGGAUAGGUGGGAGGCUUUGAAGCGUGGACGCUAGUUCACGUGGAGCCGUCCUUGAAAUACCACCCUGGUUUGUUUGAGGUUCUAACCUUGGCCCGUGAAUCCGGGUCGGGGACAGUGCAUGGUAGGCAGUUUGACUGGGGCGGUCUCCUCCCAAAGUGUAACGGAGGAGUUCGAAGGUACGCUUGGUACGGUCGGACAUCGUACCUAAAGUGCAAUGGCAAAAGCGUGCUUAACUGCGAGACCGACAAGUCGAGCAGGUGCGAAAGCAGGACAUAGUGAUCCGGUGGUUCUGAAUGGAAGGGCCAUCGCUCAACGGAUAAAAGGUACUCUGGGGAUAACAGGCUGAUACCGCCCAAGAGUUCAUAUCGACGGCGGUGUUUGGCACCUCGAUGUCGGCUCAUCUCAUCCUGGGGCUGUAGCCGGUCCCAAGGGUAUGGCUGUUCGCCAUUUAAAGAGGUACGUGAGCUGGGUUUAAAACGUCGUGAGACAGUUUGGUCCCUAUCUGCCGUGGGCGUUGGAAUCUUGACGGGGGCUGCUCCUAGUACGAGAGGACCGGAGUGGACGUACCGCUGGUGUACCUGUUGUCUCGCCAGAGGCAUCGCAGGGUAGCUAUGUACGGAAGAGAUAACCGCUGAAAGCAUCUAAGCGGGAAACUCGCCUGAAGAUGAGGAUUCCCUGGAGGCUUGACCUCCUUGAAGGGUCGUUCGAGACCAGGACGUUGAUAGGCUGGGUGUGGAAGCGCAGUAAUGCGUUAAGCUAACCAGUACUAAUUGCCCGUAAGGCUUGAUCCU